UCCCCAUGUCGUAAAGUGGGUACCAUGGGCACUUUCGCCCCUCAUGUGCAACAUAGCAUUGUCGCCAGCGCCAGGUUGCAACCGGAAAUCGAUAGUUUCCUGUUCUGGAACGAAGGAGACUUAGUCGAAGCAAGCAAGGCAAUGAUAACAAAUAGUUUUCCAUCAGAAGGUUAUCUUUAAAUUAACUACAGCCUGUGCCUUUUGAGGAUCCAUUUAGAGAAGUUAACCACCGCUGAUUAAGUUGAUCUGUUAGAACAUUUUAACCAAGAUAUAAAUACAUUUGCAAUUUAUUGUAGCCUGAUUAAGCCAAUAACAGGAAUAGCUCGUAUUGUCUAGGAUGCCCUUAAUGACCAUUUAAAAGCUUGUGCAGACGGUAUCAUCUUCUAAUAACAAAUAUAGGCAAUUUUAGAAUGCUUGGAUAAGAUUAUUUUAUUCCAAAACUUGAUCAUUCUUGCUUUAAUGGUAAUUUCAAUUGGGUACCGCUCAAAUUCUGCAUACAGCAUAUGCCUAGGGGUACUGCUCCUUCAGUUUCCUACUUUACGUAAGAAAUUAUAAUGGACAUUUUAUUUUCCAUCAUGUCUAGAUUACUAUAGCCCCACACUUCGCAUCCGUAAAUUAGUAUUAUAUGGAUUAGAUGGUGUGAUCCAACAGUUUUAACUGAAAAUCCACUAGAAGAUCAAGGUUAUUUAUUCUUUAAAAAGUGCAAACAUUGCCUUAUUGCUUGUGAAAUAUUAUGAAAACGGGAUAUGCAAAAGCAAGAACCUAUCAACGUCUGGAUCCAAGGCUAAUCUCUGUCAAACCUAUUGUGAAAUCUGGGUAAAUAAGAACAUAUGUACAUAAGCACAGAAUACAACAAAGCAAAAAAGUUGUUUUGAUUAAGUCUCCUCAUGACAGAUAAGGAAAUGUUUAAUAUGCCCCCGCUUUCUGGUACAAUUUAAGAAGAACUUAAUUAUACAUUGAAUGGAUUCACUAGCGAAUAUAACAACCCUUUGUCCAAGUAAUGAAUAAAAAUAUAUAACCUGAUUAAAAAUGUGCAAAACACUUUUGAAUAGUUCAGUUAAGUGUAUAUAUCGAUACAAAAGCUGUGAACUGUAAAUAUUUUUUGCAAUGUAAUAAUUGUAACUUGAAGUUAUUAAAACAUUAAAUCUGAAAGGCCUUUUAAAUCCCGAAACGUAAACGUUAAGAUAUAGAUCGGUUUUGCUUUUUUAAAUACCUUUUCAACAAUGAGUUCUGCUUGAAAGAAGUAUAAUAAAAACAAACAAGGUUUAAUUUGUUUGCCAACGAUAAUUAUAUACACCUCCGUUGUAACAAAGCACAAUGUAAGCAAGCAUGCGCAAUGUUACUGAGCAUGCGCACUUUAAUUCCACUUUAGAAGGUAGUAAAAAGUCUGGUGACGUUAAAAUUGUGCCCUAUGCAAUUUUCAUUAUAGGAAUUGCUUGUUGUAAAUAUAAACAGUUUAUUACUUCAUUAUAUAGAUAUUCACUUGCAAUGAAUUACACAUGUUGUGUUAAAAAAUUAACAGUAUUUCACUGGAUAAAGGAGGAAGUUAAAAUAAUCAUAUGUGAAAGAAGAGGAAGAUAAAAUACUUAUAUAUUAUAGUUGAGGAAGUUAAAAGACUUAUAUAUUUCAUGCAAUUCGAUUGUGAAACAAGUUCUACAACUUAUACUAAUCACUAUCGACAACUCAUUCCUGAUGGAAUCCUUCGCCAUGAGGGUAUGAGAGAAGAGAAGCCAGUUUCCCUUUUAAUACUGAGCGUCAAGCAAAGGAGCUACUGGUACCAUUAUUCACGUCUUUGGUAUGACGCGGCCGAGAAUCUAACACCUUCGCGCACUCGAAGCGGACGCUCUACCACUAGGCCAUCGAGGCAGUUAAAUUAACUUCUCAAGAGCAACAACCUCUGUACAAUAAAUACAUUUCCGUCUCUCUCUAGAAGUUGUAUUGAGCAUACGGUGCAAUGAAAAAUAUUUUGAUGAUUUAAUGGGUUUAAUCAUAUUUUUCAACUGCAUUUUAUAUACAUACGGUGUUAAGGAGGUAGGAUACCUUGUUACAAGGGUAAAUUCAAAUUAGUUGAACCGCAGCAUGUUUUUGUAUUUCGUGUAAUAUGAAGUUUUAACUGCUACAAUCUCAAUUUCGUUUGUCUCUGUCCCUUCAAGUUCAAUUUUUAUCCAGGUUUGAAGAACAUGACCCUCCAAAGGUAUUUCAUAUUGAAAGAAGAAGGAAAAUACGGAUAUUAAACACUUUUCAGUGUAUUUUAGUUUCAUUGAUAUCCGUAGAAGUCUGCAUAAUUGAUAAUUCUACUGGUAUGCACGUUAUCUUUCUAAUAUAAGCUUAAAAUGUAUAUGUCGCGGGGCUCGUGUUUCCAUGGUAACGCAUUUUCUCUCAUUUUUAAACAACUAUGUAUAAAAAUAGGGGUUUUCGACGGCUUCAGUGCCAUUCUGUUAAUGACCAACAUGAAAUAUUUGGGUAAUAUUAUUAGCAAAAUACCAAGCACUUUAUAUGGUACCCUAUUUUUCUUAAAUUUUAAAGUAACCAUGGCAACAGAGAUGUUUAAAAUAGCUUAUAUCUUGCUGUUUAUCGUAAUUUCUUUAAAAAAAUAUUGAAUAAGAUUAUCUUUCUGGUUGAUGUAGCUUUAAAACAUAUUAUUUCUAACGUAGGUUACAUUUUCGUGCUAUUUGCAUUUAUUCAAACAAAUUUCAUAGCUUAGAAUACGUACAGCAGUACCCCUCGUCUGCCAUUUUUCAUGGAAAAAUCGUUCAGCGUGCUGCUAUUAUUCUCAUGGAUAUUGUUGAAAUGAAAAUAAAAAGCCGAAGCUGUGUUUCUGAAAUAGACCAGUGUCAACGCUUUUGAAUUUUACAUUUAGAUACAUAGGUCACGGGCUUCGUUUCCAUGGUAACAUCAAUUCAAUUUAAGAAACCACAAUUUUCUACUGAAAUUUGAACAAUUUUAGAUCUUAGUUUUAGUAUGUAAGUAACAAAUUAUCAAUGGAACCUGAAAAAUAGGUAUUACAAAUCAAACUGCUAGACUUUUUAUUUGAAAAUGGCCGUAACAAGUAACCUUUUACCCAACUAUAUUCCAAAUAACAUUGGUUGCCAUCAUCCAUUUUCUUACAUUCCGCAUAACAUUUCAAUAUAACUACAUAAAAGAAGCAAAAUUUUGAUUAUUAUUCAGAGCAAAAGACUCAUAAAAAUAUUUCAGCAAAUAAUGGUUAUUUGAAAAUAGUUAAAAUAAAGAAAAUGUACAGAAUUACGUACUUUCAAGAUAAAAGCUAUUAAUUUUGCGCGGUAACUGACACGUAACGUCAUGACGUCAAUGACGUCAUUUUAAGGCAACAAUGUUUUGAAGCGUUUCUGCGGCAGUUUAUUCAUUAUUUCUGCAUUAUUAAACCAUAAAGCAUCAGAUCGAAGACAAGUUCAUGAUUUGUUUUCAGAAGAAUGAAUAUACAAACACAUUUAGUUUGUCGUAAACGUUGUCGUAAAUCGUCACGUUAGCUUCCGGUUGGACAUGCGCACAUACAAAUAUGAAGGUAACCUACCUCCUUAAGCUCACAUUAACAGUGUUGCUGGAUUCCUUACCCGAAUCCUACCAGUAUUAACAUACAUGUAUAGCAGCUACUGUACAUGUAAUUCUUAUAUUCUCUGGAAGUGACUGAAAGAAGUUUCCCGCAUGAAUCAGAGGUGGACGACGAGUGAGCUUAAACGUGAUACAUAAAUCACCAUGUAGAGAAUAUGUCUCGACCAGAAUGAUUUUAAGUACAUUGUUUAUUCCUGUUGAGCUAAGUAGAUGAUAGAGAUGUAUUGUAAUGAGGAAAACUUCCUGAUUUUAAGUAUUUUGUUUUUUCCUGUUGAGCUAAGUAGAUGAUAGAGAUGUAUUGUAAUAAGGAAAACUUCCUGAUUUUAAGUAUUUUGUUUUUUCCUGCUGAGCUAAUAAUAGAUUACAAGUAGAUGCAAGAGAUGAACUGUAACAAUGAAACAUAUCUUCCUUUUUUUCAGUUUAUUUAAAACGACAAUGGCAUUCUUUCUUUUCUUACAUGUUCUCUUACGUAAGCGUGAAAGAAAAGAAUAGGCUUGUACGCCUUUAAAUAAGUAAGACAGGGUUUAUGUGGCGUUAACACAAAAUGCAUGGAAUUGAAAUAAUUGAGAGUUAGUUAAUGAAUCUCAAACGUUGAGCAAAGAAUGUUUCUUAUCACAGUACCGCAUACCUGCAGGAAUUAAUCCCUCCAAAGUGGCAAUUUCAUAUGCAGCAUGUAUAAGUUAUUUUAGAACGAAAAGCUGCUGUGUACCACUUUUUUGCAACUGCCAUUGGAGUCAUUUCUGUAAACCGCAAAUCUCUAUUUACUCGGUAAUCAGGCUCCAGUUGAAUACCCUUUUUCACAGAGUCGUUUGGAUAUAAAAACGAGACA
This is a long non-coding RNA of Mercenaria mercenaria, 4399 nucleotides long. RefSeq lists it as uncharacterized. The transcript has 2 exons. The record is from RefSeq and is a predicted model, not a curated record. NCBI's taxonomy places the organism in Eukaryota, Metazoa, Mollusca, Bivalvia, Venerida, Veneridae.